AUGACUGUGCUGAGCCUGCCCCAGAGUGGCGGAAAGGAGGGCAGGCAAGACUGGGUCUGGCCAGGUCUGCUUUAAAUGAAGACGUGGGACCUCURAAACAAAGCAAACCAGGAAAUGGGGUCUGAACACUGAUUUUUGACACUCUCUGCUUUUGGAGGCAGGUCAGUCCCUGCUCACACCUGCUCACCACCAAGUCAGUCCCUGCUCACAAACCACCUAGACCCAACUCCGGAAGAGAUGAGAGCACAGAGAUUUUGCAGAGGCCUGGACAGAGUGGAUUCAACGUAAUGUGGCCGGCGGACAAUACCACACGGCCAGGGCCACAAAAAAAAAUGACAGAAGAAUGUGCUUACGACAUCAAAUGUCCCAAUUAUUUUUGUUUUAUUGGAACAAAAAU
Molecule: long non-coding RNA, 397 nt
Organism: Nothoprocta perdicaria
Lineage: Eukaryota; Metazoa; Chordata; Aves; Tinamiformes; Tinamidae
Exons: 3
Source: RefSeq, a predicted model, not a curated record